UNAUUUUUUCAUGCAUCAAAGCUCGUUAAGACUAGAUGGGGUAUCCCUACAUAGCGGGUGGGACCCACGGCGAAUGGUUCAUCAAGUCUUCAAAAAAGNAUAUAUACGAUUGCAUUGCAUAUACUAACGGAUGCGAUCAUACCAGCACUUAUGCACCGGAUCCCAUCAGAACUCCGCAGUUAAGCGUGCUUGGGCGAGAGUAGUACUAGGAUGGGUGACCUCCCGGGAAGUCCUCGUGUUGCAUCCCUCUUUUAUGUUUAACCUUUUUUUUUUUGGUUAAAACUUUAUGACUCCAUAACUUUACCGAU
This 308-nucleotide ribosomal RNA is filed under the name Arabidopsis thaliana (thale cress). Lineage: Eukaryota; Viridiplantae; Streptophyta; Magnoliopsida; Brassicales; Brassicaceae. The record is from RNAcentral.